This 496-nucleotide ribosomal RNA is filed under the name uncultured bacterium. RNAcentral describes it as "partial 16S ribosomal RNA". It matches the Rfam family "Bacterial small subunit ribosomal RNA", at positions 29 to 507 of the family's 1533-position model. The record is from RNAcentral.
AUGAACGCUGGCGGCGUGCCUCAUACAUGCAAGUCGAGCGAACGGACGAGAAGCUUGCUUCUCUGAUGUUAGCGGCGGACGGGCGAGUAACACGUGGAUAACCUACCUAUAAGACUGGGAUAACUUCGGGAAACCGGAGCUAAUACCGGAUAAUAUUUUGAACCGCAUGGUUCAAAAGUGAAAGACGGUCUUGCUGUCACUUAUAGAUGGAUCCGCGCUGCAUUAGCUAGUUGGUAAGGUAACGGCUUACCAAGGCAACGAUGCAUAGCCGACCUGAGAGGGUGAUCGGCCACACUGGAACUGAGACACGGUCCAGACUCCUACGGGAGGCAGCAGUAGGGAAUCUUCCGCAAUGGGCGAAAGCCUGACGGAGCAACGCCGCGUGAGCGAUGAAGGUCUUCGGAUCGUAAAACUCUGUUAUUAGGGAAGAACAUAUGUGUAAGUAACUGUGCACAUCUUGACGGUACCUAAUCAGAAAGCCACGGCUAACUACGUG